This is a non-coding RNA of Lentinula lateritia, 97 nucleotides long. Lineage: Eukaryota; Fungi; Basidiomycota; Agaricomycetes; Agaricales; Omphalotaceae. The record is from the annotation of a GenBank genome assembly.
UCCGAUAUGGUGUAGUGGCUAACAUUAUCGCCUCUCAUGUAUUGGUGAAGCAUAACUGAAAGCGCGAUAGCCCGGGGUUCGAUUCCCCGUGUCGGAA